GGGGGGGACGCGAGGCGCUCCGGCUUGGACAGUCCUGGGCCGGCGGUCGCAGCGCAGGAACCUCUCGUGGAGCCACUGGGUCGGCGUUUCGAUUCGUUUUCUUUGGUGCUAGAGGUACCGGAGGAAGCAACUAGCCAGGCCAGGUAGACAGCAGCAGCCAUGAAGGACCAAAGGGCGAACGGCAAGACUCGUCUCUUCUCUCAUCGCGUAGGAGAGGAACUCUAGGAAUACCUUCACAGCAGAGCAUAGCACCUCCCCAUCCCCUCCCGACAACCUCGCUUACACUGCUCUUCCCGGGCUCUGUUGUUGGACCAUAAAGAGAUGCUCCGCUUAUCCUAGUGCUGUAAGACGAAAGGAUACAAACAAAAAGGGAGAGAAGACACGCCACAAGAGUGAGCCACAAGUUGACACCGUAUUUAGGCAGAAGUUCGCAGUUGCCCGAGGAAGGUGUUAGGCGCCAAGGUCAUGGAGCCCCUGGGCAGUCCCGGACCGGCACUCGAUGCACAGGAACCUCUCCCUGGAGCAUUUGGGUCGUGCUUUUUAUUCAAGUUC
Non-coding RNA from Penaeus vannamei (Pacific white shrimp), 552 nucleotides. NCBI's taxonomy places the organism in Eukaryota, Metazoa, Arthropoda, Malacostraca, Decapoda, Penaeidae. The record is from RefSeq and is a predicted model, not a curated record.